This 253-nucleotide ribosomal RNA is filed under the name uncultured bacterium. Its description in RNAcentral is "partial 16S ribosomal RNA". It matches the Rfam family "Bacterial small subunit ribosomal RNA", at positions 524 to 776 of the family's 1533-position model. The record is from RNAcentral.
UACAGAGGUCUCGAGCGUUAGGCGGAAUCACUGGGCUUAAAGCGUGUGUAGGCGGAUCGGUAAGUACCUUGUGAAAUCCCACAGCUUAACUGUGGAACUGCUCGGUAUACUGCCAGUCUUGAGCCAGCUAGGGGCUACCGGAACAAAUGGUGGAGCGGUGAAAUGCGCAGAUAUCGGGAAGAACACCCGUGGCUAAGGCGGCUCUCUAGUACGGUACUGACGCUGAGACGCGAAAGCGUGGGGAGCGAACAGG